This 297-nucleotide ribosomal RNA is filed under the name Escherichia coli. Its description in RNAcentral is "partial 23S ribosomal RNA". It matches the Rfam family "Bacterial large subunit ribosomal RNA", at positions 1 to 289 of the family's 2925-position model. Lineage: Bacteria; Pseudomonadati; Pseudomonadota; Gammaproteobacteria; Enterobacterales; Enterobacteriaceae. The record is from RNAcentral.
GGGUUGUGAGGUUAAGCGACUAAGCGUACACGGUGGAUGCCCUGGCAGUCAGAGGCGAUGAAGGACGUGCUAAUCUGCGAUAAGCGUCGGUAAGGUGAUAUGAACCGUUAUAACCGGCGAUUUCCGAAUGGGGAAACCCAGUGUGAUUCGUCACACUAUCAUUAACUGAAUCCAUAGGUUAAUGAGGCGAACCGGGGGAACUGAAACAUCUAAGUACCCCGAGGAAAAGAAAUCAACCGAGAUUCCCCCAGUAGCGGCGAGCGAACGGGGAGGAGCCCAGAGCCUGAAUCAGUGUGU